This 484-nucleotide ribosomal RNA is filed under the name uncultured bacterium. Its description in RNAcentral is "partial 16S ribosomal RNA". It matches the Rfam family "Bacterial small subunit ribosomal RNA", at positions 30 to 507 of the family's 1533-position model. The record is from RNAcentral.
AGUGAACGCUGGCGGCAGGCCUAACACAUGCAAGUCGAGCGGCAGCGCGGGGGCAACCCUGGCGGCGAGCGGCGGACGGGUGAGGAAUUCGUCGGAAUCUGCCUUUUUGUGCGGGAGAACGUAGGGAAACUUACGCUAAUACCGCAUACGUCCUACGGGAGCAAGUGGGGGACCGCAAGGACUCACGCAGAAAGAUGAGCCGACGACCGAUUAGCUAGUUGGUGGGGUAAAGGCCCACCAAGGCGACGAUCGGUAGCUGGUCGGAGAGGAUGAUCAGCCACACUGGGACUGAGACACGGCCCAGACUCCUACGGGAGGCAGCAGUGGGGAAUAUUGGACAGUGGGCGCAAGCCUGAUCCAGCCAUGCCGCGUGUGUGAAGAAGGCCUUCGGGUUGUAAAGCACUUUUGUCCGGAAAGAAAUCCCUGGAGCUAAUACCUUCGGGGGAUGACGGUACCGGAAGAAUAAGCACCGGCUAACUUCGUG